This 768-nucleotide ribosomal RNA is filed under the name uncultured bacterium. RNAcentral describes it as "bacterial SSU rRNA". It matches the Rfam family "Bacterial small subunit ribosomal RNA", at positions 8 to 796 of the family's 1533-position model. The record is from RNAcentral.
AGAGUUUGAUCCUGGCUCAGAUUGAACGCUGGCGGCAGGCCUAACACAUGCAAGUCGAGCGGAUGAAGAGAGCUUGCUCUCUGAUUCAGCGGCGGACGGGUGAGUAAUGCCUAGGAAUCUGCCUGGUAGUGGGGGACAACGUUUCGAAAGGAACGCUAAUACCGCAUACGUCCUACGGGAGAAAGCAGGGGACCUUCGGGCCUUGCGCUAUCAGAUGAGCCUAGGUCGGAUUAGCUAGUUGGUGAGGUAAUGGCUCACCAAGGCGACGAUCCGUAACUGGUCUGAGAGGAUGAUCAGUCACACUGGAACUGAGACACGGUCCAGACUCCUACGGGAGGCAGCAGUGGGGAAUAUUGGACAAUGGGCGCAAGCCUGAUCCAGCAAUGCCGCGUGAGUGAUGAAGGCCUUAGGGUUGUAAAGCUCUUUCGCACGCGACGAUGAUGACGGUAGCGUGAGAAGAAGCCCCGGCUAACUUCGUGCCAGCAGCCGCGGUAAUACGAAGGGGGCUAGCGUUGUUCGGAAUUACUGGGCGUAAAGGGCGCGUAGGCGGCCUGUUUAGUCAGAAGUGAAAGCCCCGGGCUCAACCUGGGAAUAGCUUUUGAUACUGGCAGGCUUGAGUUCCGGAGAGGAUGGUGGAAUUCCCAGUGUAGAGGUGAAAUUCGUAGAUAUUGGGAAGAACACCGGUGGCGAAGGCGGCCAUCUGGACGGACACUGACGCUGAGGCGCGAAAGCGUGGGGAGCAAACAGGAUUAGAUACCCUGGUAGUCC